GGCAGCUUCUGUAACAUGACUAAUUUUUCCAGGUUCUAAUUAUCCAUUGCUCCUGUUGUUGCUUUUGAUAAGCGUGUCUUGGAUCUGAGCCUAUCCUGCUGUAGCUGCUUGCCAACAUUGGUGCUGACAAAGGGGAAGCCUUACAUCAAAAGCAAAGAGAAGCCAAAUUUCUGUACGAGCUGGAGCUGCAGACCUAUAAUAAGUGAAAGAGAUCGGCAACAGAAGGAUGGGUGAAGACAAAGGCAAAUCUGAAGGAAGAAGGAAAGGAAAUAUGCUUCAAUGAAAGUCUGAUUAAGAGUGGGCAAAAAUAAAAAUCAGUUAAUUUUUUUUUUUUUUUCAGGGUUGGCAGUUUGUGGUGGGAAUUGUCAACCUAUUUUGGUCAUUUUUUUGCUUGUAAAUGUUUAUUUUACAGUCUUCUUGGUUCAUAAUAACUGUUUCAGAUAUCUCAGAGGUAACAAAUGUUGGUAAAAUAAUUCUAGUGAAACAUAGCUCUCUGCAGUUUCAAGGCUGAGGUGAAUCAUGCUAUGCUGCCUCUGUCAUUAUGUCUCUGUUACUUUCAAAACCUGGUGAAUCAUAUUUGUUGAACACAAAUGUUGAUAUUCUGCAAUGAAACUAAAGCCAUAGUAACAGAAGUGGCAUAAGAAACAGCUGCUGUCAUUUCAGAUAGGUGAGCCUACUGCUUUAACCUGAAAGCAGAGAUGAGCAGAAAUCCUGUUUGUCACAGAGCUGCUCUGUAAGGACUAGAUUAAGAGUUGCACCAGCCAGAACUAGAUGAUACAGUUUUAUCUAACCUGAAGCUGAUAAUCCAGUGCCGGUGCUUAACAAUUCUAAUACACUUCUGACCUUUUGGGACUGAAUGUGAGAGCGGUUGCAAUGACACGAGGCCAAUUGUUGUGUGCAGAGUCACUCUGGCUUUGCACUUACUGAGGCUUUUCCUUACUGCUUGGACCCCUAUGCUUUUCCAGAGUAGUGAAAACAUUAAGGAUAAGUCAUGCUAGUAGUGCCAGAAUUGUUGAUACAAAUAUCAAUAAAACCUCACAAAGUACAAAUGAAUUUGUGUUGGGAGCAGUGUUGGUAGUUAGAGGAAUACAUGUGGGAAUUGCUUGUAAAUAGAACUGUGGGGAUGAGAUUCUUUGUCAGCCGUCAGGAAGUGCUGCUGGUAUUUGUCCUCAGACAUGGUUUAGUUAAACAAAACUGCUUGUCUAAUGUGUUACUAAGAGCUGUGUUCAUGUUACAGGGGUUUGAAAUCCAGAUGUCCAUCAUGCUGGAAAGAACAGUAGAGUAUUUUACAUUUUUUAGGACAAUUAAGUUUAUUUUAGUACUGUUGAUGGACAUCUCUUUGUUGUGUUGAGUGAAAAACAGUAUUUUAAUGCAUGAUUUGAUUAGGUUUGCACUACAUUGUACUACUUUAUGGUUUUGAGAGAACUCCAAGGCUGAGGAGCCUGUGCUGCUUAUUCUUCCACAUUUAUUUAACUGCUGAGAUGUCAGAAAGUUGACUUUUUUUUUUUUUUUAAGAAAGAUAUUUUCCUGCAGCAGUAGCUCAGUGAGUCCUUGUGGUUUAUCUUGAGGAAGCUGCCUUUUGCAAUAGUGCACACAUUUAAGGUUAACCAGUUUUUGCUUUGAAAGAGCUCCAAUGCAAGAUUAAACUAGUUGAUCUUUUGUUCUCAUAUAUGCUAUGAGUGGGUUUGCCUAUGAUUUAUUUGUUUAUGACCUAGGAUGUCCAGCCCAUUCUAUACCCCAGGAGCUAAUCUUUCACACUUGGAUAGCCAAGACUUUUUUGGAACAUGUUGUAUUCAAUCUUGAAUGCUG
Long non-coding RNA from Pezoporus occidentalis (night parrot), 1809 nucleotides. RefSeq lists it as uncharacterized. NCBI's taxonomy places the organism in Eukaryota, Metazoa, Chordata, Aves, Psittaciformes, Psittacidae. The transcript is spliced from 3 exons. The record is from RefSeq and is a predicted model, not a curated record.